GUCAGGGUAUGCGUAGUGGUUUGAGCACUGGACGUUGACUCUGGAGACUUGGGUUCGAUUCCCCGCUCAGCCA
Molecule: non-coding RNA, 73 nt
Organism: Phrynosoma platyrhinos (Desert horned lizard)
Lineage: Eukaryota; Metazoa; Chordata; Lepidosauria; Squamata; Phrynosomatidae
Source: the annotation of a GenBank genome assembly